This is a long non-coding RNA of Dreissena polymorpha, 6180 nucleotides long. RefSeq lists it as uncharacterized. The transcript has 2 exons. NCBI's taxonomy places the organism in Eukaryota, Metazoa, Mollusca, Bivalvia, Myida, Dreissenidae. The record is from RefSeq and is a predicted model, not a curated record.
UGUCUGCAUUGUGGCUGGUAAAUGCAAUAGGCUAGUGUUACAUAAAAGAUAGCUUAUUAGGCAAGGGAUAGAAGACCUAAUUACAUGCCUUUGGGAGUGGUCCACUUUCCUCUAUCAACUAAAGUGUCCAAUAUUUAUAUAAUACUCACAAAAGCCAGCAUUCUGGUUUAAAGAUGAAAACUAAUUACAAGACAGACAUGAAAUAAUACUGUUAAAUCCACACGUUGCCUCCUUUAAAUUGAUGUUUGUUUGCCAUGUAUCAUUUUGGUACAAAGUUUAACCUAUUUAGGGAUACCUGAUUCAUUUGCUGUGAAGAUGGGAUACAUACGGUAUAUUACGCUAGUCAAGUGUUCCAAGAGUUUGUAACACUCGAGUGGCUUGUGUGAUGACGUAUCACACGAGAGGCGGAGCCACGAGUGUGAUGCGAAAUAGCACAAGCCACGAGGGUGAUACAAACUCUUGGAACACUUGACUAGCGUUAUAUUCCUUUUAUUAUAUACAACAACUAACGAAAACAGUUAACAAUUGGAUUUUUUACUUCAACAAAACUGACAAAACAAUGACUAAAAAGGUACGCCAUAGUUUAUUUAAGACGCGUAUGAAUACAGUUUAUGUAAAUUAACGUGUAAACAUUCGAACCGGGAAAACACAGUUUUCCGACACGCUUACCUUUAUGGCAUCGUUAAUCCAAUGUUUAUAACAAUUAAGUUGACAACUUUAAUCCGAUGUUUAUAACAAAAACGUUGAAACAAUAUGCACUUCCACUUCUAUCUUCCAGGUCUUUAUCAAAACUUAGUUUAAACCACGCUUUUUUAUUGUAAUUCUAUCGAAAUAUACAUUUAUGCAUGAUAAACACACACUCCAAAGUACGUUAUGAAUUAGUUCGAUGUUUUUAACAAAUAGUUUACUGUUAAAAAACACCACGUCCGACAGGUCCUUAAAUUCCAUAGAGUUUAGAUAAAACUAUUGUGUUUCGUCACAGAAAUGACGUCACACGAUGUACUACAUAAUAUAUUUCGUAAUUUAAAAUAUUUCUAUUUUCGGUGCGCGUAAUGUGACGUCAUUAAAUGGGUCGAAGUAGUCCGGCUAGUAUGGUAAUACGGAAUUGGAAACAGCGAGUAGCGUAAUACGGGAUUUUUUAUUUCAACGAUUGAUACAACCUGUAUUUUGUUAAAAGCAUUAAACAGGUAUAUAAUUUAAAAAAAUAUUCCUGACCAGGGAACAGUAAUGCAAAUAUGGAUCCUGUCAAGAAUAUGUUAAGAUUUUAUUGACCAUACCAAGUAAAUAGACACUGCAUUGAGAACAAACCUUCUGUGACUGCCCUGAUAGGGAAACUUGCUCAACAAGGUUAAACUGGGUGACUUGGAUGUUUAUAACAUAGAAGUAUGACAUUAACAAAAAUAGUAAGUUGGGGGAAUGAUCAGUAUUUUCAGUAAAAAUAUUAUUGUAUUUUGUGUUUGCUUUAUUUUGUUCACAAAAUCAUGACUACUUGUGACUGCAAUCUUUUUACACUUCAAGGAAUUGUUCACAGAUUAUCAGAAAGACAAUUUUCCAACUUUUUGCAAAAAAUGAACAUCAAGCAGCAAAAAAAGCAUUAAUUUAGGCUUAAAAUACAUUUUGUAUUAUGAGUAUCAUCAUUUGAAAUUGAGAAAAUUAUAAAGCUUAACAAACACAUAAUGAUUAAAUAUUUGUUUCAGUUGUUUUGUGACAAUAUAUGUAGUGUAUGGCAAGUGGUUCGACGCAUAAUCCCAAGAAACUAGGUUUUUCAUGAGAACCUAGGUUAUCAGAGAGAACGAUGUGAAAAGCUGUCGAGAACCUAGGUUCUUGUGAAAACCUAGGAUAUCAAACGAGAACUUAAGUUCUCAGAAUGAGAACCUAGUUUAUCAUGAGAACCUAAGUUCUAUGUGUCUAUGAGAAUCUAGGUUCUCAUGAAAAACCUAGUUUCUCAUGAGAACCUAGGUUCUCUAGUGUAAACCUAGGUUUUCAAAUGAGAACAUAGGUUCUCAUGAAAACCUUGGUUCUUAUGAGAAACCUGGUUUCUUGGGAUUCCAUAAACCUAGUUUCUCGUGAGAACCUAGGUUCUCAUGAGAAACCUAGUUUCUUGGGAUUAUGCGUCGAACCGCUAGCCAUACCUCCAGUUGUCUCCCAUUGCUUGUGACACGCUGGCAGCAUACAUGUAAAACGAUACAAAAUAGGCGUAACACAGUGAACGUUACUCCGCAGGAACAUUUUUUCUACAAUGUUCAGGCAAUGCUCAGUAAUAUUCUACGAAACAAAUUCAGAUCAAUCGUUACAUAAUACAUUGUUACAGCAUUAAAUGAGUUACAGAUAUUCAGUUCCCUUGUUCAGGCCUCAAACGACUGUACGGUACUUUUUAUGUCCCCCACUAUAGUAGUGGGGGACAUAUUGUUUUUGCCCUGUCUGCUGGUUUGUUGGUUGGUCUGUUGGUUGGUUUGCGCCAACUUAAACAUUUUGCAAUAACUUUUGCUAUAUUGAAGAUAGCAACUUCAUAUUUGGCAUGCAUGCGUAUUUUAUGAAGCUGCACAUUUUGAGUGGUGAAAGGUCAAGGUCAUCCUUCAAGGUCAGAGGUCAAAUAUAUGUGGCCAAAAUCGCUCAUUUUAUGAAUUCUUUUGCAAUAUUGAAGAUAGCAACUUCAUAUUUGGCAUGCAUGUGUAUCUCAUGGAGCUGCACAUUUUGAGUGGUGAAAGGUCAAGGUCAAGGUCAUCCUUCAAGGUCAGAGGUCAAAUAUAUGUGGCCCAAAUCGCUUAUUUUAUUGAAGAUAGCAACUUGAUAUUUGGCAUGCAUGAGUAUCUCAUGGAGCUGCACAAUUUGAGUGGUGAAAGGUCAAAGUCAUCCUUCAAGGUCAGAGGUCAAAUAUAUUUAAUCCAAAUCGCUUAUUUUAUGAAUACUUUUGCAAUAUUGAAGAUAGCAACUUGAUAUUUGGCAUGCAUGUGUAUCUCAUGGAGCUGCACAUUUUGAGUAAUGAAAGGUCAAGGUUAUCCUUCAAGGUCAAAUAUAUGGGUCAAAAUUGCUCAUGUAAUGUCACUUCUGCAAUAUUGGAGCUAGCAAUUUUAUAAUUGAAAUGCAUGUGUAUCUCAUGGAGCUGCACAUUUUGAGUGGUGAAUGGUCAAGGUCAUCCUUCAAGGUCAGAGGUCAAAUAUAUGUGGCCCAAAUCGCUUAUUUUAUGAAUACCUUUGAAAUAUUGAAGAUAGCAACUUGAUAUUUGGCAUGCAUGUGUAUCUCGUGGAGCUGCACAUUUUGAGUAAUGAAAGGUCAAGGUCAUCUUUCAAGGUCAAAUAUAUGGGUCAAAAUUGCUCAUGUAAUGUCACUUCUGCAAUAUUGGAGCUAGCAAUUUUAUAUUUGAAAUGCAUGUGUAUCUCAUGGAGCUGCACAUUUUGAGUGGUGAAAGGUCAAGGUCAUCCUUCAAGGUCAAAGGUCAAAUAUAUGUGGCUCAAAUCGCUUAUUUUAUGAAUACUUUUGAAAUAUUGAAGAUAGCAACUUGAUAUUUGGCAUGCAUGUGUAUCUCAUGGAGCUGCACAAUUUGAGUGGUGAAAGGUCAAGGUCAUCCUUCAAGUCAGAGGUCAAAUAUAUGUGGUCCAAAUCGCUUAUUUUAUGAAUACUUUUGCAAUAUUGAAGAUAGCAACUUAGUAUUUGGCAUGCAUGUGUAUCUCAUUGAGCUGCACAUUUUGAGUGGUGAAAGGUCAAUGUCAUCCUUCAAGGUCAAAUAUAUGGGUCAAAAUUUCUCAUGUAAUGUCACUUCUGCAAUAUUGAAGCUAGCAAUUGCAUAUUUGAAAUGCAUGUGUAUCUAAUGAAGCUGCACAUUUUGAGUGGUGAAGGGUCAAGGUCAAGAUCAUCCUUCAAGGUCAAACAUCAUAUAGGGGGUCAUUGUGUUUCACAAACGCAUCUUGUUGAUAAUAGAAGUUUAAAUAAUACAAACCUUUAUUUCAAGCUGUGACCUUUUAUUUUGUAUCCAUUACUUGUGAAAACAUGACUUGUGUACUGCUGAACGGGGGCGGGGGGGGGGGGGUGGUGGCUUUUUCUAUUACAGUCAUGAUUUUUGUUUUGUAAUGAUUGCCUGCAUGCAGAUUUAUGUGUUAUUUAAGUUAAUUUCUUUCAAACAAUUUUUAAUUUAUGAGACACUGUUGGGGGCUCCAUAUAAAACAGUUUUUCUUAAAAUAAUUCAUUAUUUCACUUUUGAAAUUUUCACACGUCAUUGCUUUAAUAAAUACAAACCAAGGGGGCUAUUGCAAAAUAGGCUUAAUGCAUGUUUAUGAAGUAGAAAUGUUACUUUUUUAUUUUUCAGUAAAGAACUGCAUUUGCUUAUCUGGGAAAUUCUGGACGCACAUGCAUUAAGCCCAGUUUUCUAAGAUACCCGCACAAAUAUAUUUGACAUUUGUGAUUGACGAUUUUAGGCUUUUCAUACUAACAGUCCUUAUGUGUAGAUCUCCGCAAAAGUCUUAAUCGUUAUAUUUGCCUUAUCUUAGUGAAACCCAGUUUAAUGUUGUGUUUAUAUAGUAAAUUUUAUGGACUGAUCAAACAUAAUUGUUUACAAUAAUUUAUUUUACCUGAAGAACAAAGUGCAUGGUAUUGAUAUGGUUUCGUUUCACAUUUAUUGACAGCCUAGCCAAUAAAACUGAUAUUUAAACAAUAAUGUGACACCCAGUGUGGAAAAAAAAUGUAUGUAUCGGAAAUAUGUUUAAGUUAGCUGCUUGUUUUGUUUGUGUUUGGUCCAAAAUUAAUUGAUAUAAGAAAAUCUUAUUUUUUACACAAUACCAUGUUAUCAUCCUAUGAACAUGAUUAAUAUUCAUUAGAAUUAGCUGUAAUCCAAUCAUUAUGUAUUUGUCCAGUUUUGAACAUGUUUUCUUUGUAUUGCACUGAAGUACAAGCGGUUAUUUUGAUUUACAACAUUAAAAACCAUCACCUUAGAUACGCACUUGUCUGAUUGUAAAAUAUCUUAUAUAGUUUGAAUGUUCUCAAAUGAUUUAUUGUCAAGACAUACAGUAUUAAUCUAGAGAAAACAACAUUUUACAUACAUUUAAUUUACUCCACUGUUUAUAAAUCAAGAAAAGUUAUUGUAGUGAGCAUGUGUACACUUUAAUAGUACAAGGAAAACACUGUUGUCGGGCUGGUUCAAAAGAGUUCUUUAUGCAAAUCUGUUGAAAUGAGUCAUAAUAAUGAACUAAUCGUUGUUAUUUUGAAAUUUAAAUGUAUAGUUUAUUUUGUUCGUUCGGUUUAUAUGUAGACGGAAAAAAGUUGACCUGUUUGCUUGAAACAUUUUUGUGUACAAUGUUCAUCUUAUCGCAAGUACUUGAUAUAUAAAAAUAAUUGCUAUAUUUUGUAUCUCAAAUUUAAGGUGACAUACCAUUCGGUACAAUUAAAAAGGAAGAGUCAUUUAAAUAAGACCAGUAAAUUUAGAGACAUUGUUGUGAAUAAAUUCUAUUAACAUCAGAAAGAAUAUUGAUUGAACUUAAACAUGUAAAUGACAUUGGAAAAUGUGUACAAUAUUGUAUUGCAAUUUAUUUCACUCGUUCUAUUUUUGGUCGUAGAUUUAAAGCCAUUUGAAGAUCAUGCAUCAUUUGAAAGUUAAAACUUCAGAUUUUUGUAGAAUCUGUAGCAUAUUUUCUAACAUACAUGGCGGAUAUGUAAAUUGGCGGGUUUGAACAGUUGUUAACUAGAUUUCAUUAUAUGCAAAUUAUUAAGUAUAUGCAAAUUGAAUUGAAUUUACAUUUAUGUUGUUCAAAUUGCAAGGACAAUCUGUAAGCUGUGUUGUUAACAGUCAUGUGUGUAUUAAUAAUAUUAGGCUAGACUUUCCGUGCACUGUUCAUAGCCAGAAUAUGAGGGCCAAAAUAUGGUUGUGAUUAAGUUUUGAUCUAAUAAUGUUUGUUUCUUGAAUAAUUUCCUGUGUACCUGCUCAUUGUUUUACACGUUUUAAAGCGUCCACACAAUAUGUACACUUACACCACUGUCAUUGUCUUGAUAAUCAGUAUACGGCGUGAUUAUAUUGUCCAGAAAUAAUCCUGGUACUUUGUUUAACCCGGAUUUGUCAUUCCAGUUUUUGUGAUAACGGAGUUCACUUGAGAAAAGAAUCACAUGUUUUUUUGUUUUAUUAUGUUUUUUUUUAUUAUUUUUGAUACUAACAUAGAAGUAAUGUGAUUUCAAUAAAAUUGGAAUUGGACGAAA